UGACAUGCAGAGAAGAUACAAACUUUCCUGGCUUGCGGUAACCUGAGAGAUUUUCACUUUCCUCUUGCAGCCACGGAACCCCUCAGGAUGCCAGCACCUACCCUUUCUCAAUCCUGUGUGAUUCACACUGAUCCAGUCCCCUCACUCUGUCCACAUUGAUGAGUAACUUACUCAAUGUCCCACUUGUACACCUGGGUCUAUCUGUUUUCUCUUUUUCUUUUUUCUUUUGAGACGAGUUCUCACUCUGUGUCCCAGGCCUCCCAAAGUACUGGGAUUACAGGGGUGAGCCACCGUGCCCGGCCGGUAGGGCCUUUUUAGAGGGCAAAAUUAGCAACAUAUCGUUUUCCCAGCAGUUCCAUUUUUCGGAAGUUAAGCUACAGAUAAUAUGCUGGGUCUCAGGACGCACUGGGGGAUGUUAACUGCUGCCCUGUUUACAGCAAACACUGGAGACAAUCUGGCUGCUCAUAAUAGGCGAUGGAUAAAAACAUGAUGGUGAAGUCUGAUGGGACCAUGGAGCCUCAGCUCAUAGGUGAUGCCAUCUCCUGCCACCUCCCUCCCUCCCUCUAGGGGAAAUAGUUCUUGGUCAUCCUGCAUUUGAGUGUUGUGGGGCCCCCACUCAACCUCAGCCCAGUGAUUAUUGCCACGCUUUAUCUCUGGUGGGGGCCUGGAUCAGGCAUGGUGAGCCAGAAUUAAUCAGGCCCCGGCUUACCUGAUACAGAGGAGACACACCUGUGUUCCUUUGGCACAGACAUUCUGGAGUCCCAGUGCCCAGGAAAGAAGACGGGAGGCAGUAGCAGAGCCUGGGAGAGAUGGCCUGAGGAUGUUGUGAUGGAAGACUGUAUAUGAUCAUAUGCACUGCUGUCCAGUCUGCAGAGCCAUGUGGGGGCAAGAAGCAGAGGCAAGGAGCUGCCUGCAUGUGGGCUCUGCUUCUCUAUCCCUCACUCCGUCUCCUCCGCUGCAAAAAGAGGACAGCAAUAGCACCUGCUGCAGAGGGGUAUGUGAGAAUUAAAAGCUACUAAAGAGUAUCCCAAAAGUCCUAGAGCAGUUUUAAGUUUUAAUAACUGUGAAAGUACAAGUACUACAAACAUAUAAAAAAAGCCAGCUGAGUGCAGUGGCUCUAGCCUGUAAUCCCAGUA
This 1136-nucleotide long non-coding RNA is filed under the name Homo sapiens (human). Its description in RNAcentral is "HSALNT0388216". Lineage: Eukaryota; Metazoa; Chordata; Mammalia; Primates; Hominidae. The record is from RNAcentral.